RNAcentral lists this ribosomal RNA (497 nucleotides) under uncultured bacterium. Its description in RNAcentral is "partial 16S ribosomal RNA". It matches the Rfam family "Bacterial small subunit ribosomal RNA", at positions 28 to 507 of the family's 1533-position model. The record is from RNAcentral.
GAUGAACGCUGGCGGCGUGCCUAAUACAUGCAAGUCGAGCGAACAGACGAGGAGCUUGCUCCUCUGACGUUAGCGGCGGACGGGUGAGUAACACGUGGAUAACCUACCUAUAAGACUGGGAUAACUUCGGGAAACCGGAGCUAAUACCGGAUAAUAUAUUGAACCGCAUGGUUCAAUAGUGAAAGACGGUUUUGCUGUCACUUAUAGAUGGAUCCGCGCCGCAUUAGCUAGUUGGUAAGGUAACGGCUUACCAAGGCAACGAUGCGUAGCCGACCUGAGAGGGGGAUCGGCCACACUGGAACUGAGACACGGUCCAGAAUCCUACGGGAGGCAGCAGUAGGGAAUCUUCCGCAAUGGGCGAAAGCCUGACGGAGCAACGCCGCGUGAGUGAUGAAGGUCGUCGGAUCGUAAAACUCUGUUAUUAGGGAAGAACAAAUGUGUAAGUAACUAUGCACGUCUUGAGGGUACCUAAUCAGAAAGCCACGGCUAACUACGUG